Molecule: long non-coding RNA, 39146 nt
Filed under: Medicago truncatula (barrel medic)
Lineage: Eukaryota; Viridiplantae; Streptophyta; Magnoliopsida; Fabales; Fabaceae
Description: long non-coding RNA (MTRU_LNC007697)
Source: RNAcentral
UUGAUAUUUAGAAACAAAGUCAGCAAGUCCUGGAACUUACUGCUUGCUUACAAAAUCCAAGUGUUCAGACUAGACACAACAAUUAAAGCAUAAAAACAAAACAGAUAUAGUACUGCCACCGUCGAUCUAGAACCCAGUUCUGAGAACACAAGCUAAGAGAUGAAGGUGCAGACUUGACACUUAAUAUGAAAAACAAGUAAACUAGAAGAGAAAUAGAAAUACUAAGGACCAAAGACCAUUUAUUGUAAUAACUAUGAUAUGCUUCCCAAGUAAAUAGAUCAUCCUGCUCGGUUCACUUCUUCUUCAAUGCUGACUUGGUCUGCUUAAGUCCUCCACUGGGAUCCUUCUUCUCCACAGCCUUGAUGACCCCAACAGCCACAGUUUGACGCAUGUCUCUAACAGCAAAACGGCCGAGUGGAGGAUAUUCAGAGAAAGUCUCAACCACCAUGGGCUUGGUGGGAAUCAUCUUAAUAAUACCAGCAUCGCCAUUCUUCAAGAAUUUGGGCUCCUUCUCAAUCUCCUUACCAGAACGCCUAUCAAUCUUAGUAACAAGCUCAGCAAACUUGACAGCAAUGUGGGAGGUGUGGCAGUCAAGAACAGGGGCAUAGCCAUUUCCAAUCUGGCCAGGGUGAUUCAUUAUGAUCACUUGAGAUGUAAAGUUAGCAGCCUCCUUGGCUGGGUCAUCCUUGGAGUUUGAGGCAACAUACCCACGCUUGAGAUCCUUAACAGCAACAUUCUUGACAUUAAAUCCCACAUUGUCACCAGGAAGGGCCUCUGUGAGAGCUUCAUGAUGCAUCUCCACGGACUUGACUUCAGUUGUCAGUCCAGUAGGGGCAAAAGUGACAACCAUUCCAGGUUUUAUGACACCAGUCUCGACACGCCCCACAGGCACAGUUCCAAUUCCUCCAAUCUUGUAGACAUCCUGAAGUGGUAGUCGGAGGGGCUUGUCUGAAGGCCUCUUAGGCUCAUUGAUUUGGUCAAGGGCCUCAAGAAGGGUUGGACCCUUGUACCAGUCAAGGUUUGUAGAGCGCUCGAUCAUGUUAUCUCCCUCAAAACCAGAGAUGGGAACAAAUGGAAUUUUGUCUGGGUUAUAGCCAACCUUCUUCAAAUAGGAUGAAACUUCCUUCACAAUUUCAUCAUAUCUACCCUUGGAGUACUUGGGUGUAGUAGCAUCCAUCUGUUCAAGAUAGAUGCAAAUUAGUACUUAAAUAAAUGAAUUAUAAAAAUAAUCAAAUAUACAACUUCAAGGGGCUGAAAAUAUUAAAUACCUUGUUGCAACAGCAGAUCAUUUGCUUCACACCAAGAGUGAAAGCAAGGAGAGCAUGUUCACGGGUCUGACCAUCCUUAGAAAUACCGGCUUCAAAACCACCAGUAGUGGAAUCAAUGAUGAGAACGGCACAAUCAGCUUGGGAUGUUCCGGUGAUCAUGUUCUUAAUGAAAUCCCUGUGUCCGGGGGCAUCGAUGACAGUGCAGUAGUACUUGGUUGUCUCAAACUUCCAGAGAGCAAUGUCAAUGGUGAUACCUCUUUCACGUUCAGCCUUGAGCUUGUCAAGGACCCAGGCAUACUUGAAUGAACGCUUGUUCAUCUCAGCAGCUUCUUUCUCAAACCUCUCAAUGACACGCUUGUCAAUACCUCAAGAUAGAUGUCAAUUAGUACUUAAAUAAAUGAAUUAUAAAAAUAAUCAAAUAUACAACUUCAAGGGGCUGAAAAUAUUAAAUACCUUGUUGCAACAGCAGAUCAUUUGCUUCACACCAAGAGUGAAAGCAAGGAGAGCAUGUUCACGGGUCUGACCAUCCUUAGAAAUACCGGCUUCAAAACCACCAGUAGUGGAAUCAAUGAUGAGAACGGCACAAUCAGCUUGGGAUGUUCCGGUGAUCAUGUUCUUAAUGAAAUCCCUGUGUCCGGGGGCAUCGAUGACAGUGCAGUAGUACUUGGUUGUCUCAAACUUCCAGAGAGCAAUGUCAAUGGUGAUACCUCUUUCACGUUCAGCCUUGAGCUUGUCAAGGACCCAGGCAUACUUGAAUGAACGCUUGUUCAUCUCAGCAGCUUCUUUCUCAAACCUCUCAAUGACACGCUUGUCAAUACCUCCAAGCUUGUAGAUCAAGUGACCAGUGGUGGUUGAUUUCCCAGAGUCGACAUGGCCAAUGACCACAAUGUUGAUGUGAACCUUUUCUUUACCCAUUAGUUCUUAAAAGCUGAAAACCACAAAAAGAUCUUCCAAAGAAAAUAAUACAUAAGCAUGACCCCAAAGAAAGAAAAAAAUUAAAUAAAUGCUACCUGUUAACAACACACUGACUAAAAGAUUUAACAAUUCAGCAGAAAUCAACACAUAAAUAUGAACCCAAAGAAGAUGACAACAACAAAAUGUUAUCCCACUAAGUGGGUUUGGAACUAUAUGAAAUGAAUUGCCCUCACGCAGGAUCGAACUACGGACCUUCAGUUUACAAGACUGAUGCUCUACCACUGAGCUAUAAGGGCAAGUUGUAUAUGAACCCAAAGAAAAAAAAUGAAAAAAAAUAAAAUAAAAUAAAUACUAUAAUAUAGAACACACUUGGAGAAGAAAUACACAAUCCAAGUAAAAAAUUCAACAAGUAAUCUAUACAACAAUAACUAACAUAAGCAUGCUUCAAAAGAAAAAGGGACUCCACUGUAAAACAAACUUCAGUAAUCAGGCACAUAAUUUCAGCAUGAUUAUGAUAAUCGAACAAGCAUGUGUGUCAGCAACAGAUUCUAAUCUUAUCUAUUAAUCAGGCAUGCAAUCAGAUUCUUCAGCAGAUAUAACAGGUAAAACAAACUUCAGUAAUCAAGAAUAAAGUAUGACAAUAUGUCAGCAACAGAAUAUACAUCGGGCACGAAAUAUGAUGUUUCAGCAGAAUCCAGAAACAAAAAAAUAUAGAUACGCAUGUGUAUAUCAGUUAUGUUGUAUUACAUGAAUGAAUCAACAUAAAACUCGAAAAUAUGGAUCCAAAAAGUUAACACCAUCACAACAAAGUAAGACCACCUUUUAAAAACAUAAACGAUUAUCACUUUUUGUAUUCAGAAUUACAAUUAAACAGGCGCAUAAUUUCAGCAUGAUUAUGAUAAUCGAAUACCAACUCGAAGGAAAAUAUAGAAACAAAAACAAACCAAUUUCAACGAUCCUGUAAUUACACUACAACUGUAAAACUAAAUUGCGAAAAAACAGAAUCCAAGUCAAUAAUUGAAUAGCAAACAAAAGAAGUAUAUAACAAUAUAGAUUCUUAUUUUGUGUGUUUAGGUUGUGCUUGUAGAAAAUAGCAUGGUAAUAAUGUGAUGUUGAUAUAAUAAUGGCAUGGUAAUGUUAAAAUGCAUGAAUGAAGAAUGUAUGAGUAUAGAAAACCAUCAACUCCUUGAAAACUACGAUGAUUAGUAAAUAAAAGAACUAUUGGAUUCAGAAUUGCGAUUAAGCAUGUACAUGGAUGGAAUGGAAAAACAAGAAAUCGAAAAACAAAAGCAUUAUAAUGUAAUCAAUCGCAGAUGUAAAGUAAACAACACGAAUAACCUAUGAAUGAAUUGAUUAUGAAUACAUUGAUCGAUCGAUUGAUAAGAAAAGAAAUUGAAGGAUUUAGGGUUGGUUUGUUACCUUGAGACGAAGGAGAAAAGGCUGCGCUGCGGAAACCCUAGUCGAUUUGCAAGGAACAGAAUUGUGAGAAUUGAGAGGAACGGUGGGGUUUUUAAAUAAGGGUUUCAGGGGUUUAUAAACUACUCUGCACUUAGAUUGUGUCCAAAAAUAUAAUAAUGUUCAAUGUUUUUUUUUUCUUCCAAAUUUUAUUCGAUUUUACUAUGUAGUUUUAUUUUGUUUUCCUUUUUUUAUAAAUAAUAAAUAAAAGAGGUUUAAGAUGAGAUUAUGUUUCGGUCGAAGUCAAAGUAGAUGAGUCUACCAAUGGAAUCAGAGUUUAAUGAAGUCCCCAAAACAUUCAAAGAUCAUGUGCACAGACUAAGACGGUGAAGUAUCAUUUAAGACGUUCAUAGUCAGUUUAAACCUUUUAAGCAUUCGAGAAAUCAAUUAGCCUUUAUAACAUACAAGUAUUAUCGUCAAAUGCGUAAGUCCUGAAAACAAGAAUCAAUAAGAAGGAAAAUCUUUUGAACAAGAAGAAAUUAUGGUUUUACUUUAAAAAAAAAAAAAAGAAAAUUAUGGUUCUCUUGUUCUACCUGAAAACCAAUGGCCAUUAAAAUGCAAUGUGAUUGUUGUUAAUUUUGAGAGUAUAAUGCAAUGUGAUGGUUGUUAGUUUCAGGAGUAUAGUCGGCUCUUAAUUUUGGUCGCUAGACUAAUUUUUGCAGCAUUAUUUAUGACAUGUCAAAUUCAUUUAUAACGUGACAACACUUAUUAACGUGGCAACGUUUAUUACGACAUAUGGAUAUUUACGUUAGCAAAAAUAUGUCUAGUAAACGUUGUCAUAUCAUAAAUCAAUAGAACCACAUCAUCUAAAAAUGAGACGGGGGACCAAAUUUAUGAAGAAGAAAAAAAGUUAAAUAGAGGGACCAAAAAAAACGAAUUUUAAAUAGGGGAACCAAGACUUCAUUGUUUUGAAACACGGACACCAAAGUUUCAUUGUUUUGAAAGUUAACUCAUCUUCUUUCCUUCUUUCUUUUUCAUUCUUAUUUUCUCAUUGGGGGCAAUUAUGGUGUCAGGUUUCAUUGUUCAUCAUUCAUAUUGUCCUCCAAAGUUGAUUUUCGGUAUCUGCGGGAUAGUACAAUGGUCAAUAGAAAUUUUUGUAUGUGUAGUUGUGGGGAUAGUAUGAUUAGGCAAAGUGGCUUGUCCCACAUCAACUUGUAUUUCAUAUUAAUUUCGAUAUGUGAUUGUUCCCAUCUUCUUGUACUAUAGAUUUAAUUUUAUUCGUCAAGCAUGUUUAUGCUACAUAGCGUGAUUUUAACGUGAAUGUAUUAUGUAAAUUUUUUCUAUUAAUAUCUUGUGUUGUGUUGAAUUAACAAAUUUUGUUGUCAAUUUCAAAUCAUGUCAUUUUAAUAAAUUAGUUAAAUUAAUAAAUCGAAUCUACACAUAAUUGGGUUAAAUACAAUUUGAAUUAUAAUACAAAAAACGUCAAAUACUUUCUUGUUAUAAAAUUCAAACAAGAUGGAGGCGCACGAGAGAUGAGUAGGAUGGAAAAGAAAGGGUGGUUAGAAAGAAAAUAUAUAUUUUUAACCAAAAAAUCACUUUUUUAUUUUUUGUGUUUGUUUAAAAAAAAAUAAUCUGUUUUAGUUAAAAAAAAUAAAAAAUUGCCUCAAUGAAAAGCUAUUUCUAGUAGCUUUUUCAAUAUUUAAAAAAAAUAAAAUAAAAAUUCAAGUGUAAGAGCUUCAAAUCUUAAAAAAGUGAUUUUUAUGAUAGUUAAAAAACAGAAAUAGCUAGAGAUAUUUUUUAAUUUUUUAAAAUACUUUAAAAAAAACCCUAAUAGAUUCUUUUAAUUCAAAAUCUAUUUUUUCAAAGGUGAAACAACCACACAUUAUAGUACAUGUUUAGUAUCUCAGUGAUCCAUCGUGAUUUUUUAAAAGCUACACUUUGUAGCUUCUGCAAAAUCAUGGUGGGUCGCCGUGAUUCAAGCACACACACCGGGAUACCAAACAUACAAUUAUCAUGGUGGGUCGCCGUGAUUCUAGCACACCCACCAGGAUACCAAACAUACAAUUACUAGCAUAUUUUUAUUGUGCUAACGGAUGUGAAGUGAAUUACAGACAAUGUUUUAUGAAAUUUUGAUUGCAAUUAUAGGUACAAAUGUAUGUGACUUUCAAAUUGUAACAAACCAUGUUUAUUUUUUUCAUUGACACCGGCCAUAUAUUAUAGACGGAAAAUUUAUUUAAAAGUAUACUUGAGAAAAUGAAAAAACCAAACCUAAAGCAUCUCAUCAUCAUUGUUAUAGAUAGUCUUAAGUGGUAACAUACUAAACUAAAAUUGCAAACAGCGAAUUACAGUGUAUUAAAUUAUAUUGAUGAUAUUCUAAUAUACGAAAUUCCCUUGGACUCCAACGUCUAGACACUUCUCAAAACCAACUAAUGCCCAAGUCAAAAUUUUAAUAUGUUGGAUGCAGUCUACAUUGAAGUUACAAUUUGUAGCUUGGACAUAACCAAGGUGAAAGUUGCUUUUCGAUGUGAAAAAUGAAUCUCGUUACAGUUUAAAACAAAUGCGAGUUCUUUGGCAAAGAUGAUGCAAUGCAAGGGUCAAAGUGAAAAGGUUAAAGAUAGCAAAAAGUCUUCAAAAAAAUUUGAAUGUAACAUUAGGAAAACGUUAGCUACAGACAAAGACCUUUAAGAGUCAAACAUGAAAUAUGCAUUCAAACAGACUAGUUUCACAAACUGCUCACCAAAGAACCAUAUGCCCUUGGAGUAAUUUUCACCGAGGAAAAUAAAUAUUGUUCGAGCACGUUAUGGUCUCUGGGAAGGUAGAUGAAAAAAUAACUUAAUUGUAGACCAUAUAUUUGGGAGUUGCACUGAACUUCUGGUACCCUUUGAUGACUUUAUUCACUGCAUCAAGGAAGUCUUUCUCUGUUACAGUCUUCCUUCGUGCACGGAUAGCAUACAUACCAGCUUCAGUGCACACACUCCUUAUAUCAGCUCCUAGAGAGAACAAAAAGUAUAUUGGUCAGAAAAGAAAACUAAUUUUUCAUGGCAAAGAAAGCAAGUACUUAAAAGUUUUGACUAGAAAUGAUAUAAGCCAGAAUACUGAAGUACUUAAAAGAUUGAUGGUCAGAAGGAAUAAGCUAAAUUAAAAAUUGCCUAGUUGUUAAGAUGUUCUUACCAGUGGAGUUUGGGCAAAGCCGAGCUAGAAGCUCAAAACGGAUAUCCCUUUCACAGUUCAUGGUUCUUGUGUGUAUCUUGAAUAUUUGUGUCCUACUCUCUAGAUCAGGCAGGCCAAAUUCAACUUUACGAUCCAAUCGCCCAGGCCGCAAUAGUGCUGGAUCCAAAGUGUCAGGCCUAAAAUUUGCCAUUAGCUAUAUGGUCAGCAUCACAGGGGUAAAACUUUCAAACUGAAUAAAUGAAGCGUCAAAAAAUAGAAGUUGCAAACUAGCAAUGCAACCUUCAUUAUCGCAAGAGGAUGGACAGACAAUAUGAGAAAAAAAGAGCAAUUGCCGUGCUACAUGAAUUAUGGAAAAUAUGACUGAAUACAAAGAGACACUUUCAUAACAUCUACAGUGAAAUAGAGAAAGGAAAACCAAAUAAUAGUAAUAUCAACCAACCUGUUUGUUGCCAUCAAAACUUUGAUGUUUCCUCGAGCAUCAAACCCAUCAAGCUGAUUCACAAUUUCAAGCAUAGUUCGCUGAACCUCAUUAUCACCACCAACACCAUCAUCAAAUCGUGCACCUCCAAUUGCAUCAACUUCAUCAAAAAAACAACAAUGCACGCCUUUUUUGAACGGGCCAUCUAACAAGGUAACAAGUUCAAUCAAAUGAUACCAGAUAAUGGAAAAAAUGAUAAAAAACAAAGCUAUACAACAUGAAACAUCUACCUGAAAUAGUUCACGAACCAUCCGAGCCCCCUCACCAACAUAUUUCUGAACAAGUUCACUUCCAAUGACCCUUAUAAAACAAGCAUCAGUUCUAUUAGCAACAGCCCUGGCCAAAAGUGUUUUGCCAGUUCCUGGAGGACCAUAACAAAGCACACCCUUUGGAGGAUCAAUUCCAAGCUUGACAAAUUUCUCUGGAUGAAGCAUGGGAAGUUCAACAACCUUGCAGAGAAAUUAAAAAUUCAGUGCCAAUUCAUUUCCUUUGUCAUGUGAAACAUGGAAAAUUUCAAAAACUUACUUCACGCAUCUUCUCAAUCUGUUCCUUACAACCACCAACAUCAUUAUAUGUAACAUCUGGUUUCUCUUCAACUGUCAUCAUGGUAACACUUGGAUCAAUUUUUGGAGGCAGAGGAAUUUGGAUCUGAUAUUUGGUUCUAUCAACACUGCGAUGAUUAAAUAAAGGUCAAACAAACACGAAGACAAGGUAAUAAUGUUGUUACUCUUCUUUCUUAGGGUGACAUAUUAUCGUAAGAGUUAUUUUUUGGACACAUACCCAACACGCAUUCCUUCCUCUAUGUCGGUGGGGGAAACCUUGUCUCCUAGCCCAACAACAAACUGAAAUCAAAGCAACAGGAAUAUUAGACCGGGCGUAAUUUUUUUUGCAAAUCCUUGUCAUAUUAAACAGCAUAUAAACUAGUGAUAAACAAAUAUCUAUAUAAUAGAUAAAUUGAGGCUAAAUGAAAAGAUUGGUGUGACUUAUAGGCGGCACCUUUGCAAUCUGCUUCACAUUGAUAACAUAUUUGGCAUCUUCAGAGUUUGGAUUUAUAAUUUUUGUGCAUCUUGCAACCUGUUCAAUAAUUGACCAUAGUUAGGCAUUCCUACAAAUAAUAAAAGCACUUUGAACAAAUUCUACAGGAUGAGAAAGAAAAAAUUGCCUGAAGAGGCUGCUCCUCCUGCAUCAUCUGCUUAUCGGAAACAAGAUCCCACUGACUUGGUGUAGCUAAACCAGUAUCAGACUCCUUGAUACCUAUAUUACAACAGGAAGUUAACAUCUAACGAAGCGUGCAGGUCAUAACAGCAUCCAACUCAAGCAACUAGGGCAAGCCACAAUGAAUAGAACGAAAUAAAACGCCUACAUAAUAUCCAACUAUCUAGUCGUUUCUUCAGUUUAAGAUUAAAUUUGGAGAUAGAAAUAUACCUAAUUAAAGAACCACUUAUAACCAUAAAAAUAAAAAUAGACAGCGAAGGGGAAUUAGAAUAAACCACAAACCAAGAGAAAAUAUAAGAUUUAAUUUUCUUUAGCUAAACAAUUUCAACCAUCUAUAAGGCAAUAGAAAUAAACCCAAUUAAGGGACCACUUAUAACCAUAAAAAUGAAAAUGGACAGCAAAGGGGCAUAGAAUAAACCACAAUAAAAAGAGAAAAUAAAAGAUUUCAUUUUCUCUAGUUAAACAAUUUCAACCAUCUACAAUGCAAUCAAGAAAAGCAGAAACAAACUAAAUAUUAGUCGCAUACCGCACAAGUCAUUCACUUUCUUUGCCAUAUCUUUAAUUUCCUUCUCCACUUUUUUAAUGCUUGUGGAAUAAGGUCCCAAACCCUGCAUAAAGUGGAACAAAUCAACAAAGAACCAUUGAUCAUAGAAAAAGCAUUCAGUCCAGCAACUAAGAAGCCUAGCAAGGAAAGUCAGGAAUCAACAAAUGAGCAAAACAUCUCCAUAAACAUCACUAGCUUUCUGUAGAACAGAUCAAAUAGACUUUAAAAUCACAUGAUCACCACUAAAUACAUGGCUAAACACAUUAGUAGCACCUCAUUAACUCUUAAUGAAACCUAUUCAUUGGGCACACUUAGUAAUAAAAGGUUACAAAACGUUACAGCUUUACAACAUAGUAUCACAAUCUAUACCUGGACUGAUAUACACAACUGUACCACAUGUCUCAUAAUAUUUCAUGUUGACUAUCCAGUCCCCACUCAACACUGCACUAACUUGAUUGUUCAAGUCAUGCCAGCUCUCCUCGCCCGGUCAGGUCCUACCUCAUUACUAGCUUGAUUGUUCAAGUCAUACAAGCUCAGAUUUCCCAGCCACAUCCUACCUCUGCACUAGCUUGAUUGUUCAAGUCAUACUACCUCACCUCGCCCAACCAGGUCCAUCCUCGGCAUCAGCUUGAUUGUUCAAGUCAUGCCAACUCACCUUGCGCAGUUAGAUCCUAUCUCAGCACUAGCUUGACUGUUCAAGUCAUGCCUAGAAUGAAUCAACCACAUCAAACUCGUCGACAACUAAGUUGUGCAAGUGGUCCCCCUUCCAAACGCUUUACAACAUUCUGCAGCGUAGUUAUGUAAGCUACCUGUUCACUGACUCCACGUGUCCUGUACGAACAACCAAAAUCUUUGAAGCGCGUCUGGCUUCAUGUACCCGUACAAGACAACCAAUGAGAGACUCUGGAUUAUAGCUUAAUGGGCCUAGGUGACCAAAGAGAGGCCCAUUAGGAUUUAGGUCUACAAGGACUGUAAAAGGAGGCACUACUAGCUAAAAUAGUGUAUAUUAAUCUUAGUUAUCUUAGAGUAUUCUUGGAGCUCCUCCUUGUAGGAGCACUGAAUAGGUCACCUGUUGUGACUUGUGUUUACAUAUGUGAACAAUUACUAUAUCGUGAAAUGAAAAACUUUGUGCAUCCUCAUCACGGUAUAUCAACAAUUAACAUGUAUAGUUCACACUCACACAGCUACCACAAGCAUCAAUUUACACAAACCCUACCCAACAACUUUAACUCUUAAAUCCAGAAACCCUACCUCAAACUAAUUUCUUUCAUUUGAGUUGCAAAAUUUAACAAAAAGUAACGGACAUUAAUUAACAGAAUCAGAAAAAUUACCCAAAAAAUAAAAAAAUAAAAAAAAUACCACAAUUGAAUUGAAAUAGAAGAGAAAUUGGGAAACAUAGGGAUUUAGAGAGAGAAAGAGACAUACAUAGGUUUUGAGGAGAGCGAUGUCAUCCUCAUCGAGGGGGGCGGAGGGUUCUUCUCGUCUUUGAGAUCGUCUUCGUGUUCAUUAGCCAUUGCUUGUAUUGGAAUGCUUCAAAGUGCGACCAACCAGCUUCAGAUUUGAGAUUUGGCUCUUAUAAUAUAAGGCUUAUAUAGUUAUGCCACUCCUAAUGCUGCUUUUUGAACAAGAAAGAAACUCAAAUAAAAUUGGGGUGAUAUAGUCGAUUUGGUCCUCAAUGUGUGACUAGUUCUUAAUUAUAUACGUCGUUAGUUAAAAUAGUUUAUAAGUUAAAAUAGUUGUUUAAUAUUGACAUUAACUUGCCUCUUACAAAAAAAAAAAUAUUGACAUUAACUCUUUUAAUAUAAGAAUGAGAUUAAUUAAAUAUUUAUAAGGACCAAUAUGACAGUAAAUAAGUAUAUUGAGGGAUUAUUCCUCAAAAAAAGUAUAUUGAGGGACUAAUACGGAAAUAUUAACGAAAUAUUUUAUCGUAAGAGUUAUUUUGACCAACGUAGUGCAAAAUCAAAGACUUUUUAAAAUUUUAAUAUAUUGAUCGACUAUUGUGACUACUUGUUGCACAUAUAGACACCAAAAUGAAUAUUACCCCAAAUAAAAUUACUCUAAAAUUUCAUAAUAUUUUUAUUUUCUAACAUGUUUUUUAUUUGGCAUAAAUAUAAACAUUAUAUUAAAUAAAAAAUUAACUGCAACAUUAUAUUAAAUUUAAAAUAUAGAAACAACUUUUUAGUAAUUUUUUUCUUAAAAUAUCAUUAAUAUAUAAGUGAAGUUAUUGUGUCACAUUCUUCAUUUGCGCUCGAAGCUGACACACAUCCUCCCUUAAGGGUCCGUUUGGUUCGAGAUUUUUGGAGGGAAGGGGAGGGGAGAUUUUUAAUUUGAAGUGUUUGGUUCAAUUUUUAGAAGGGAAGGGAAGGGGAGGGGAGGGGAGCAAAUCUCUUUAAAAUUUUAUUGCAUUGCCAUAAUUAUCCUUAAAUUAAUUUCAAAUCUCAAUAUUAACCUUGUAACAACUUUUAUUAUUAUUAGAUUAUAUUAUUUUUGUAACAAUUUUAUUAUUAUUAUUAGGUUAUCUUAUUCUUGUAACAAUUAUUAUUAUUAUUUUGUUAUAUUUUCAUAGUCACUUUCAUGUGUCUUAUUUGUUCAUAUGCAACAAAUUUCAUUUAUCUUACAAUUGUUAAUUAAUAAGCACUAUCCAUGAUUUUGAAAAUUCUUAUGUCAUAUAUUUAAGAGCUAUGCUAUUUUUUACGAAAGUAAUUGGAAAAAAAUGCAAGGAUUACAAAGAAUUGCUCUUAUAAAAAAAAUAUUACAAAGAAUUGCUCCGAUAAAAAAAGCCAAAUAUGAUGCUUGGAGCAAAAUACAUGAGCCAGUUUAAGAUAAAAUAGCGGCUUAGAUGUGUGCUUGUCUUUGUCAGUUUCUGAAAUCGUAAAAACAAACAGUUUCUUUUAUUUAAUUAAGUUUAAGGGUAAAACGGUAAAAUACUGUUAAAAUCCCUCCCCCUCCCCUUGUGAACCAAACACACUUUUAAUUAAAAUAUCUCCCCUCCCCCUCCCCCUCCGUAAAAAUCCCUCCCCUCCCCUCCCCUCCUAAUUCUCGAACCAAACAGACCCUAAAUUGGCUCGCUUAAGCUUUGUUUGGAUUGAUGGAGUCAAACAGAGCGGAUUGAAACAAAAUGAAACGAAGUAAAACGAGACGGAAUGGAUAUAAACUUCGUUUCGUGAGAAAGUUAGCCCAAGGUACCUCUAUCCAAAACUAUUGAUUUUGAUUUAAAUAUGUGUACUGUGAAAUCUCCUCGUGUAGUUGAGUAUCACCACCAUUCUUGAAAAAAUAAAUAUGAUUUUUUGUCUAUUUAUCUUUUACAUGGAAGUGUGACAAAAAGUACACAGUGCAAAACGUAAUAAGUCUGUUUAAUGGAGGCCUAUGCAAAAAGAAGUUGAUGUUUUUAUGCUGGCUUUUUUUUUGUAUAAAAAUUAAUUCAUAGAACUAUAAACUAAAAUUGAAUAAAAAUAUUGUGGGAAAUAAUUUUAAAAAGAAUAUUGAAAUUAUAAUUUUGGACACAAUCAUAAUCCAAAUUCCCUUGACAUGACAUCGCCCAUCGAUCACAACAAUUUUAGAAUACUCUCAUUUUGAUCCCAAAAGACCUUCAUCUUGUCAUAAGUGGAGUGAGUUUGUGCUAGAAUAGUAAAAGUAUGUUGCUUACUUCUAGUUAAGCCCUUCAAAUACCUUUUAGUUUUAAAUUUGUUGGCUCCCCUAACAUUCCAAGAGAGCACACUAACAUCUUUAAACGUUGUCAUCAUAAACACCAUCAAAGAGCAAAGUAAUAUGACUGCAAGGCUUGUUUAGGAGGAAUGAUAUUUGUACAACCAUUUUGCAAUAAUUUUUGGACAACUUUCUCUCUCAUACUCACAUGACAUUCUUAUCCUCUCUCUUUCUUUUCCUCUCUCCAUUAUUUUUGAUCAAUAGAAAGAGAGAAAAACAAAGUUGUUAUCAAUUGGAUUUACAUAUAUCAUUACUCCUUGUUUAGUAUCCCAUCCCAAAGGUUUUGUAACAUCCCCGACGACUUUAAUAAUUGCCGACUGACCCUACAAACCAACACAAGUUUUUUCAGUGUGUUUUGUCCUCACUCGCAUGCUUACCGGGAAACUUCCCAGUAGGUCACCCAUCCAAAGACCACUCUAAGUCAAUCACGCUUAACUGUGGAGUUCUUAUGGAAUGGGCUACCGAAAAGAAGAUGCAUCUUGUUGAUAUAGGUAGUAUCAAACAAUUCUUCUAAGCCUUCCUUCAACCAUGUAGUCACAUACCUACACGGCCUUAGGAUCCCCUCAUUCUGAUGUGAUUCGGUUCCUCUAGAAAUUGUCGGGAGUCGCUCAUUGUCAUGCCUUGUGCACCGGCAACCACUCCCCGUCCUCGUCAGCCUUGGGUGUUACAUGCCCACCAGCUUCCGCUUGGUUCGUCCCCGAACCACAUCGUACUGGGAGAGGUCUGCUCUGAUACCAUUUUUUGUAACAUCCUUAACGACUUUAAGAAUUGCUGACUGACAAUACAAACCAACACAAGUCUUUUUAGCGUGUUUUGUUCUCACUCACAUGCUUACCGGGAAACUUCCCAGUAGGUCACCGAUCCAAAGACCACUCCAAGUCAAUCACGCUUAACUGUGGAGUUCUUAUGGAAUGGGCUACCGAAAAGAAGAUGCAUCUUGUUAAUAUAGGUAGUACCAAACAAUUCUUAUAAGCCUUCCUUCAACCAUGUAGUCUCAUACCUACACGGCCUCAGGAUCCCUCUCAUUCCGAUGUGAUUCGGUUCCUCUAAAAGCUGUCGGGAGCCGCUCAUUGGCAUGCCUUGUGCACCGGCGACCAUUCCCCGCCCUCUUCAGCCUUGGGUGUUACAGGCUUUUAGUCUAAUAAACUACAUUUACACCUUCAAGAAUCAAAAUAGUCGUCAUAACAACCUCCGUAUGGUUUUGAGUCUCCAAUGUAUCGCUUUUAGGUUUCCCAGGAUAAUAAAUUUCCUUCUUUUUUGAAUUCAACGAGACUGGUUCAACCAAAUGAGAUAAUUGAGUGGAAUUCUCUUAGACACUCACACCCUGUGUAAAAUUAGAAUUAGAAUUUCAAUAGGUUGGGGAUCGAUGGAAUUUAGUGCAACCUUGUCCAAAACGCUCGUUUAUUUCACCUGUUGGCGAAUCUUGAAAAGAGUCAGCAUUCUCCAUCCUCAUGUUUUUUAUUUCCUUUUUAAAUGUAAUGAAACUCAUUAUCUCCCUUUUCAAGCGUUGUUUUCAGCAUGCGUAAAUUUUUUCAAUAACUGCGUUAAUAUGUUGAUCGCGCCUUCACCAAAAUUCUAAGGCUGCAUGGUUGAACACUAUAUGCGGUUGGCAAAGGUAUUGGACAGAACACAAAGUUUUGAGUCUCGUGGUCGUAUCUUUCAUAAGCUGAGAAAUAACGCAGAGUCCUUCAAACACCACCUGGUACCGGUAUCCAUCCACCCAUACUUCUACCAUGACAAUCUCUUUAAGAUCAAUCUCAACACAAAUGUGUGCGAACCUUCCUCUUUAAUGUAUCACACUCCACAUUGUACGAAUAUUCAAAUAGCCAUAAUAUCUUCGGUCUACGAUUCACACAUGCCCUUGAAUACAUUUUCAUCAAGGUAAACCUUCAAUAGUAGUCUAUCCCCAUUUUCAUGCUCUAUUAUCCUUAAGAUGAUUGAGAUCAUCACAGUGGCGGAGCCAGAAAAAAGAGCAUGGGUGGGCCAUUAAAAGUUUGACUAAAAAGCUCAGGUACUUUAAAAAAAAUAAAUUACAUAGUUUACUACUUCUAUAAAUUACAAAUCUUUUUUUUAUAAUACAACUGUUAAUUUGAGGAAUUUUCAGAUGACAAGACAAUAUAAAGGAGAUUUGAAACCCCAAAACAUUAAAAUGUAGGUUAAAGUACACUUUUUCCCCCUAACUUUGAAAAACUUGCAAUUUUGACCCCCUAAGUACAAAAACUACAAUUUUAGCCCUCUAAGAUUUAGCCCCUUUACAUCUUUGAUCCUUUUGGUCAAUUUUGACUUAUUGAACGUGGCAGGCCACGUGUGUAAUUAAUUUAUUAAAAAAAAAAAUUCAAUUUUUAAAUUAAAUAAAUUAAAAAAAAAAAUUAAAAAAUCAGAAAAAUAAUUUUCAUAAAAACCCAACAAUCAUCUCCCCUUAAUUUUAAACAAUUUUCAUAAAAACGUACAAUUUUCACAAAACCCAACAAACCCAGAUAAAACAACAUGUUAAUUGGAAGAAGAAGCUUGAUCGACGACCACCACCACCUGCUUCUCUAGCCCGACAAUACUAUACUGUUAUUAACUUUCUUAAUCUCAAGCCCUAUUAUGCUUUUCCUAAUUGAGGACUUCAUUUAGAGACUUCGUUGCAGAUGUAAUUUUCACGCCCUGCAAUUUGUUCCAGAAUACAAGAAACUGCUUGGUUGCUUCUUAAGAGGUUGCGCGGGCAUGCAGGUCUUAUUGGACCAUUGGAUCGGCAUCUUGUUGGUCCAUUUGGAGAAUUAAAUUUGGAGAAGAGUGAAAAAAGUUCCAAGAAAGCUUCAAAAUACUUGGCUUUACAUCUCAGAUUUGAAAUUGACAUGGUAGCUCAUUCCUUAUGUGAAUUUGGGGGAGGUGAAGAAGAGAGGAAAGAAUUGGAAGCAUAUCGUGAGAUCCAUUUUCCUGCACUGGCAUUGAUGAAAAAUACUACAAAGUAUGUAUCACAAUUUUUUUAUCUCAACUAGUUCUUCACUUAUACUGGAAACAUAUCGUGACCACCACCACCCUUGCGAACCCUUGUUCUUCCUUCAUCGAAAUUCUCCUCGUCUUCGUCCUCUUCGUCAUCUUCGUCAGUGUUAUUUUCGGGUUCGUUGUUGGGAACGACGUCGGAAGAGCAAUUGACGGUGGAGGUAAGUUCGGAAUAGAUGUGGUUGGAUUCUUCUUGGUCUUCAAGAGGAAGAAGAAGAAGCCAUUUGAAUUGGAAGUCAAAAGAAUGAAUUUUUUUUUCUUCUGAUUUUUUAAUUUAUUUAAUUUAAAAAUUGUUUUUUUGGUUUUUUUUUUAAUAAAUUAAGUACACAUGUGGCCUGCCACGUAGGCGUUGAAUAAGUCAAAAUUGACCAAAAGGACCAAAGAUGCAAAUGAGCUAAAUCUUAAGGGGUCAAAAUUGUAGUUUUUGUACUUAAGGGGUCAAAAUUUCAAAUUUUUGAAAGUUAGAGGGGGUAAAGUACACUUUAGCCUAAAAUGUAUGUAAACCUCCGCUACCCAACCAAGUAUAAGCAUGACAAAAAUCACAUAUGUCCAUUUUAUAGAACCGCUGAAAACCCAAACCGUUGAAAAAUUGUUUAAAACCCCGUAAAAUUGACCUAUGAUAUUUAAUUUUUUAAUUUACUAGGUGGACCACUACAACAAUUAAUGGGGAUUUAGAUUCGUUGACCACUAAAACCGUAGCAAAAUUGUUUAAAAUCUCGCAAAAUAGACCUACGAUCGUUAACUUUUUGAUUUUUUCGGGUGGGCCCCCAACCCAUGAAGGACUCCAUCCUUGGAUCAUAACCUGCAUCAAGUGGUUUACAAAACAUUGCAUGUAGAGAUGGACACUGGUUUCCACAGAGAACACGAGCAUCAUAGUCUCUUCUUGUUUUCACAUAUUUUCAUGUUAUUGAUUCUUGUUUUAAGGAGUAUACACAUUCGACUGUUAUUGAUUCUUGUUUUAAGGAGUAUACACAUUCGACCGUAAUCACCGAAUACGUGAAUGCAGGGUGACUGCUUGGAGGGCUCAUAUUAGCUCUAAGCGUCUUAUUUGAUUCUUCAAGGCCUUUGCUGGUCCACAUGAUGUUUGGAUGCUUUUAGCCAUAGUUUUAAAACUCGGGCCAUUUAUUGGAUAAGCCAGUCUGGUUCAUUUAUUGGAUCGAUUAUGUUAUUGACUCGCUACGAAACGGUGCAACUCGGCCAGAACCGGAAUAAACCGGUGACUCAGUGGUCUUCUCGAACCGGCUGGGUCAACACUUUUGACCGUUUUUUUUUUACAAAACAAGGGUCUGUUAUAUUUUAGGGUUAAUAGUGCUUUUCACCACUGUAAUAUAGGCCAUUUCUAGUUUUCGCCCGUAUAAAAUUUUCGGUUUGAUUUGCAUCCUUGUAAAACUUUUUUUUUUCCGGAAAACACCCCUCCUCCAUCCAACUCAUCAAAUGCGCAUAUGUGGCGCUGACAUGGUUUUUUUUUUUUUAUAUAUUAUUAAUUGUCUACAUCAGAUUUUAUUUUUUAAAAUAUUUGAAAAUUAAUUUUCAAAAAUAAAAAUAUAUUCAGAUUUUUUUCCAUAAAAUUUAAAAAUCGAAAAAAAAAGUUUUUUUUUUUCAAAUAUUUAAAAAAUCAGAAAAAACGAUAAGAUUUUUUUGAAAUAUCGGUUUUUUUUUUUAAAUUCAAAUAUUAAAAAAUCACAAAAAAUUAGAAAAAACAAAUUCGAGGUUUUAAAAAAAAGUCAUAUUUUUUUCCAGAAAAAAAAAAAACAGUUUUAAAAUUUUUCUACAAAAAAAAAUUAUGGAAAAUGUUUUAUUUUUAAAAAUCUGGAUACAAUUUUUUAAAAAAUUCAGAUUUUUUUUUCGAAAAUUUUAUUCCAGAUUUUUGUAAUUUUUUUAAAUAAUAUGGAGUUUAAUUUUCAAAAUAAAAAAUUUUAAAUUAGAAAAAACAAAUUCGAAUUAUUUAAAAAAAAAGUCAUAUUUUUUUCCCGAAAUAAAAAACAGUUUUAAAAUUUUUUCUACAAAAAAAAUUAUGGAAAAUGUUUUAUUUUUAAAAAUCUGGAUACAAAUUUUUUAAAAAAUUUAGAAGAAAUUCAGAUUUUUUUUUCCAAAAUUUUAUUACAGAUUUUUAUUAAAUCAUUUUUGAAAUUAAAAUUUUAGAAAAAAAUUAUUUUCUAAUUUAAACAAAAAAUAAAAAAUUUGGAAAAUAUUUUUCAUAAUAAAAAAAAUCCUGAACUUUUUUAUUUUCAAAAAUUAAUUUUCAAAUUUUUAAAAUUAAUUUUAUUUCUAAAUUAAUAUAAAUGAAUUUAUGUUAUAAUUUUUUUAAAAAAAUAGUCACAAAUGCCACAUUUAGCCUUAGAAAAAUAAAAAAUAAAAUUAAUUAUACAGUCAGCACGCCACAUAAGCAUAUAUGCACAGUCAACAUGCCACACAGUGUACCACGUCAGCAAAUAUGUACAGUCAUAUGGGGGAGGGGUGUAACGCCCACUUUCGUUUAAUCGUUAUUUAAUCGAGUUUAGGCCAUUAUAUUAUAAUUAUAUAGUAUAUGCAUGAUUUUGAUAUGUUUUGAUGAUUUGUGGUGAAUUUAGUGAUUUGAUUGAUGACGUGAUAAGUUAUGAGUUUUGGAGGAUUUGAUUAUGAUAUGAGAAUUAUUUUAUUGAUAAAUAGAAUAAAGAUUUGAAAAUAAUAUAAAAUAUUUAGUUGAGGGCUGUUUUGAUAUUUUAGAUAGUUUUGGGGGAGAAAGUGAGAUAAGAUAAGUAUUUUAAGAGGAGAUAUAAAAGAAUAGACCUAGGUUUAGAAAAAACACUUUGUACGUGAAAACUUUUGGAAAAGGGAGAAAAAGCUUAGAGAGGAGCAAGAGACCAAAGAGGGCUGCGAUUUCUUCAUAACCAGGUAAGGGUGGGACUAAUAACUCAGUAACAUUAAUCUCUGUAAUUCUGAUGAUUAGUUGACAAAGUUAGGAUUGAUUUAGAGAAGUUUUGGAAUUAGGUCAAAACCCUAAAAUUUGAGAAUAAACGGUAAAACUUGUUUAGAUUGAUGAAAGAACCGUCCUUUAACCUUAGAAUAUGUUUAGGAUGAAUUCUGGAAUCAAAACCAAGCUUAGAACCAUGUGAAUCGACGGAUUUUUGUGUUUUUAGGAAGCCUGGCCGUAGCGACAUUCAUCGCUCGCCACGGCGAGCUAUGAUCCUCGCCUCGCGAGUGAUGAAGUUCAUCGCUCGCCACGCGAGCCUUUUCCCUUCGCCUCGCGAGUUGUUUGGUGCAACUCGCCAUGGCGAGCAACCCUUCCUCGCCUCGCGAGCUUAGGCAGAGUGCAUGUCAUAUUUUGUAGUUUCGACUUUUUAGUUGGACCUUGAGUGCCUUUAAGUGCCUAAACAUACCUAGAGAUGAUUAGGAAUGAUUUUAGGACAGGAUUGAACCCAAAACAACAUUAGUUGGGAAUUUGAGUGGUACUCGCCAUGGCGAGUGAGAACUCUCGCCUCGCGAGCAAGUCCAGAAUGUAGCUGUUUGAGUGGUUGUGCGAUCUGUGUCGCACCUUUUGAUCAGGAGUGAACCCCUAAUUGGUAAUGAAACCUUAUGAUAACGUUUAAUGCAGUCUGUAAAGCUAUUAAGAUAUGUUGAUAUUAAUUGAGCAUGAUUAAUGUAUUAUGCAAUAUGUGAGAUAUAAUGAAACGAUUAUGAUUCUAUUGAAUUGCUGUUGAUAUAUUGAUAUCUCCCUGCUGAUAUGUGACUUGACUAUGCUGCUGCUGUUAUUUAACUGAGUAUGCAAUGUUUAUUUAUGAAUAUAAUGAAAAUGAUGACGUUUCGCUUCAAGUUAUUGAAUGCACAUGAUUACGAUGUUUUGUUGUUAAGAGUCCAUGCAUAGCAUAUCAUUGAGCUUAGUCCUCACCACGUUUUAUUAGGAGCUUUGUCCUCCGCACGAUUAUUAGGAGCUUUGUCCUCCGCACGAUUAAAGUAUAUUUAUACUUAUGAUGACGAUUGGUACCACAUGCAUAUACGGAGUCUAGGAGCAUUGUCACAUUGUCAUGUCUAUUAUGCUUUGUUGAUGAUGAUUGAUUAUGUGAUUACGUGAUAAUGUUAUGUUGUUGAUGAUGAUUGAUUAUGUGAUUACGUGAUAAAUGCUUAUUAAGGAUACAAUGAUGAUUAUGUUUAAAAUGAUUAUGAUCAAGAUUGAUUAGGAUGUUAAUUUAUGAUUCUUAAUUGCAUUGAUUAACGCUAUUCUGUUAUGAAAUCUCACCCCUUCUGUUUGAAUGUUACCUCGACCGUGGGUAACGUGCAGGUGAUCGAGCUUAGUGUGCUGUUUCCGUCGUGAGUGGCCUUGCCUUCACUGUGUCGUCUAGGUCGCUCUGAUACGUAACGGGAUGGGGCUUUAUGAUUAUGCAUGCUUCAUUCUAUUACGUGACUUUUAUGCUGUUUAUGAUUAUGAACUAAUUUCUUUUAAGAUUUAAGAUGAGGCCUGCGUGCCAAAACGUUUUAUGACUAUGACAUAAUUUCCACUGCGAUGUUUAAGAUAUUUGGUUAAAUCAUUAUUUAACUGUUUUUGGAUUACGUUUAUGUGAUAUCCCGUUGUUUACGAUGCUUACUCUGAUAAAUGUCUUAAGAAAAUUUCAUAUUGGGAAAACGGGGUGUUACAAGGGGUGUUUUCCGAAGAAAAAAAAGUUUUACAAGGAUGCAAAUCAAACCGAAAAUUUUAUAAGAGCGAAAACCGAAAAUGACCUAUAUUACAGGGGUGAAAAACACAAUUACCCUAUAUUUUAAAAAAAAAUUCUAUUUUGGCCAGGGAAUCGAACCAGCAAACAGUAGCAAAAGAUAUACAAUGAAAUACCAAGAGCUUUUUAUUUGUUAUAUUAAUAGCAUAUUUUUUUGUAAAGAAUAAAAAUAGCGUAAUUUAUUUUUAUGAAAAUCAGUUUUAUACUUAAAAUUAUUUUUUUAUUUGAUUGGUAAUUGUAUCAUAGUCAAUGGAUUAAAUUUAAAAAAUAAUCUUGUGAAAUUAUGUUACUUUUAUAAGUGUAAUAAUAUUUUUUUAGAGAACAUAAUCAUAUAAUGGAAUACAAGAUUUUCAUUAUAAAAAUCGAGUGACACGAUCGAGUCAAUCGAUUUAAUUCGAUUCAUUCAUGCGGUACGACCAGUAACCCAGUGGUUCGACCAUUGACCCAAUGACCCAAUACACUUACCGAGUCGAUCACCGGUUCGAGUUUUAAAACUAUGCUUUUAGCCCUUAUUGGUCAUUGACUUUAUUAAUCGACUUUGAAUAUGAGGAGCAUCAAUUUAGUGAGAAACACUUUUGUUUUUUAGUCCCUACAAAAUUCAACAUUUUUGUAUUCAGUCUCUACAAAAAUGCUAUUCUAUAUUGAUCCUUAUUUCACAUUACAAGGACUAACCGUACAACUAUCUUUGAUAAAAGUUAUUUUUUACGAGCUUGUAAAAGAGUCCUAAAGUCUUCUUUGACGGAGACGGAGGCACAAUCUCAUACUAAAUAUAUUCUAUAAAAAAAAUAAAACAAAAUAAAAGUAUAAAGUAAAAUUGAAUAAAAUUUAUGUAGGAAAUAAAUUUGAAAAAAAUAUUGAAGAUUAUUAUAUACUUUUUUUUUGAAGGAAGAUUAUUAUAUUUUUGGACUGCAUCUAAGAAAAUAAUCCACAGAGUACGUAGUUUAUAAACCCUUAUAUAUAAACCCUACUACCGUUCGUUCCUCUCUACAAACUCUCACAAUUCUCAUUCCUUGCUAGGGUUUCAGCAGCGCAGCGCAGCCUUUUCUCCUUCGUCUCAAGGUAACAAACCAACUCUAAAUCCUUCAAUUUCUUUUCUUAUCAAUCGAUCGAUCAAUGUAUUCUUAUCAUCAUCGAUUCAUUCAUAGGUUAUUCGUGUUGUUUACUUUACAUCUGCGAUUGAUUACAUUAUAAUGCUUUUGUUUUUCGAUUCAUGCACAUGUUUAAUCGCAAUUCUGAAUCCUAUCGUUUUUUUAUUUAUGAAUCGCUAGUUUUAAAAUAGUUGAUGGUUCUGUGUUCUCAUAUAUACUUCAUUCUUGCAUUUUAACAUUACCAUGCCAUUAUUAUAUUAUCGUAAUGUUUUUUUUAGUUGUUAUUAUUACAUACUUGUUUGUUUGGUAUUCAAUUAUUUGGCUUGGAUUCUGUAUAUUUUUUUUGUCUUUGUGUUCAUACCUAUGUAUAUGGUUUUCUAUUUGUUAUGACUUAUGAAGGUAUUACUUAAUUAAUUCAUGUUUGGGAUUCAUAUAUUCCCCUAGGUUUUUUUGUUGUUUUGCUAUUUGAUUCACAUCACUAUUAACAUAACAACAGACAUAUAUUUGAUUCAUAUACUAUUAACACUAAUAGACUCAUAUAUGAUAAUUAUGUGAUUUUUGAACUGUGUUGUGUACAUGCCAUAAAGAUUUUAUCCAAUGGGGGAUGUAGCUCAUAUGGUAGAGCGCUCGCAUCACUUAGCAUGCGAGAGGUACGGGGCUCGAUACCCCGCAUCUCCAUAAUUCACUUUAAACUGAUGUUUGUUUUCCGAUCAUGUCGUGCCUGCUCUGUAUCUGCUGAAAUAUAGUGACAUGGUAUGUGCUUUUUGAUUUCUCAGAAUGUUGCUGCAAUUUUACUGUUUAGUACUCAAGUUUAUUUUACUUAUGAAUUGUUUUCUGUGCUGAAAAUAAUGGCAGAUCUUUUUUGUGCUUUUAAGCUUUUAAGUCCAAAUGGGUAAGGAAAAGGUUCACAUCAACAUCGUUGUCAUUGGCCAUGUCGACUCUGGCAAGUCAACCACCACUGGUCACUUAAUCUACAAACUUGGAGGUAUUGACAAGCGUGUCAUUGAGAGGUUUGAGAAAGAAGCUGCUGAGAUGAACAAGCGUUCAUUCAAGUAUGCCUGGGUUCUUGACAAGCUCAAGGCUGAACGUGAAAGAGGUAUCACCAUUGACAUUGCUCUCUGGAAGUUUGAGACAACCAAGUACUACUGCACUGUCAUCGAUGCCCCCGGACACAGGGAUUUCAUUAAGAACAUGAUCACCGGAACAUCCCAAGCUGAUUGUGCCGUUCUCAUCAUUGAUUCCACUACUGGUGGUUUUGAAGCCGGUAUUUCUAAGGAUGGUCAGACCCGUGAACAUGCUCUCCUUGCUUUCACUCUUGGUGUGAAGCAAAUGAUCUGCUGUUGCAACAAGGUAUUUAAUAUUUUCAGCCCCUUGAGGUUGUAUAUUUUAUUAUUUUUAUAAUUCAUUUAUUUAAGUACUAAUUGACAUCUAUCUUGAAUUCAUUUAUUUAAGUACUAAUUUCCAUCUAUCUUGAACAGAUGGAUGCUACUACACCCAAGUACUCCAAGGGUAGAUAUGAUGAAAUUGUGAAGGAAGUUUCAUCCUAUUUGAAGAAGGUUGGCUAUAACCCAGACAAAAUUCCAUUUGUUCCCAUCUCUGGUUUUGAGGGAGAUAACAUGAUCGAGCGCUCUACAAACCUUGACUGGUACAAGGGUCCAACCCUUCUUGAGGCCCUUGACCAAAUCAACGAGCCUAAGAGGCCUUCAGACAAGCCCCUCCGACUACCACUUCAAGAUGUCUACAAGAUUGGAGGAAUUGGAACUGUGCCUGUGGGGCGUGUCGAGACUGGUGUCAUAAAACCUGGAAUGGUUGUCACUUUUGCCCCUACUGGACUGACAACUGAAGUCAAGUCCGUGGAGAUGCAUCAUGAAGCUCUCACAGAGGCCCUUCCUGGUGACAAUGUGGGAUUUAAUGUCAAGAAUGUUGCUGUUAAGGAUCUCAAGCGUGGGUAUGUUGCCUCAAACUCCAAGGAUGACCCAGCCAAGGAGGCUGCUAACUUUACAUCUCAAGUGAUCAUAAUGAAUCACCCUGGCCAGAUUGGAAAUGGCUAUGCCCCUGUUCUUGACUGCCACACCUCCCACAUUGCUGUCAAGUUUGCUGAGCUUGUUACUAAGAUUGAUAGGCGUUCUGGUAAGGAGAUUGAGAAGGAGCCCAAAUUCUUGAAGAAUGGCGAUGCUGGUAUUAUUAAGAUGAUUCCCACCAAGCCCAUGGUGGUUGAGACUUUCUCUGAAUAUCCUCCACUCGGCCGUUUUGCUGUUAGAGACAUGCGUCAAACUGUGGCUGUUGGCGUCAUCAAAGCUGUGGAGAAGAAGGAUCCCAGUGGAGGACUUAAGCAGACCAAGUCAGCAUUGAAGAAGAAGUGAACCGAGCAGGAUGAUCUAUCUACUUGGGAAGCAUAUCAUAGUUAUUACAAUAAAUGGUCUUUGGUCCUUAGUAUUUCUAUUUCUAGUCUAGUUUACUUGUUUUUCAUAUUAAGUGUCAAGUCUGCACCUUCAUCUCUUAGCUUUUGUUCUCAGAACUGGGUUCUAGAUCGACGGUGGCAGCGCUCUAUCUGUUUUAUUUUUAUGCUUUAAUUGUUGUGUCUAGUCUGAAACUUGGAUUUUGUAAGCAAUCAGUAAGUUCCAGGACUUGCUGACUCUGUUUCUAAAUAUCAACUCUUUAUUUUUGUUUAUUUCUUGGUGUGAUGUUUAAGCUUGUGCUGGGGAAUGUCUAUGUUUUAGGCAAUAUCGUUGCCAAGAAUGUCAGGAUCAUUUUUGAAUGUCAAUUGCACAAUGUCCUGAUCGUUUACCUUAUUAUAUAUGAAACUAAACUCAAGCAACAAGAAACUAGUGAACCUGCUAUCUAAAGUUUGUGGCUUAGGCAGUAGCAUAUCCGCAAGACCUUGGUUCAAUUCAAACUAUUGGAACAAGAAACUAGUGAGCCUGCUUUUAAACUUUGUGGCCUAGGCAGUAACUUAUCCGCAAGACCUUGGUUCAAAUCAAACUAUUACAUUUUAGUAAAUUAUAAUCAUAAUCAUAUGUAAAAUAAUAGGAUCCAGGAUAGAUAAAUUAUUUUCGAAGCUCCCAACUGAUGGACCACUACAUUUUUGUCUCUUAGUACAAUGAACAAAUAAAUAGGAAAUUCAAUCCUGAAUAAUGAGAUCAAAACUUGAUAAUCACUAUUUAACUUAAUGAAGCUCUCCACAACAAACUUAGAGUCAAGGUAAAAGAUAAUGUCUAAUCUCCUCUCCAAUCUACAAAAUAGCUAAUCAUAAUUCUUUCAAAUUGUUUCUGGUUUUAAUGUUCCCCGUUUAUCUCUGUUUAGAAAAAAGUUCUCCCAUACUAAAUUUUUUUCCUAUACUAUUUGUUGUUUCUCUAGUAUUUUUAAUUCAAUGUAUAAAGUAGAACUUAUCUUCUUCUUUUUUUGUUCAAGUUAUAUAAAAUUGUUUCUCACUCUACAUGUCCCUUUUUGUCUCACCUCUUUUCUCUCAGGCGUGUUUGUUUCAAGGUUAAGAAUGACAUUAUCGGAAAUACAUGGCUAGGGAAUGAUUAUACCCAUGUUUGUUAUGAGGUUGAGAAAAAAAUAUUCCUGGUAUAAAGGUUCCUGGGAAUGGAGUAACUUCCCAUAACUUCCAUCAUUCCCAUGUAAAGAGAUGGGAAUGUGCAUUCCCAUGAUAUUAUGCAUAGAUUUAAAAAAAAAAUUGUAACUUCCAAUUUUUUCAGAAAUGUCAAAUUAUUUGCCAAACAUUUUUUUUAACAAAUACCCAAGAAUCAAAUUUUCAUAUUUUCAUUCCCGAGUAUGUUAUUCCUGGGAAUAAUUUGUGUUUUUCAAAAACAAACGCUCAGUAAUUUUUUUAGAGGAUUUCUUAUCAGUAAUUUAACAAUUUAUUAUUUUCAUUUUAUACUGUAUACCAAAUCUUCUUCAAUAUUUAUUAUUAUUAUUGUUAUUGUUACUAUUAUCAUUAUUAUUUAAUUUAUCCGAUCAUUCUAACUCAUACUCUAUUUGUUCACAUAUUUACUUGAUUUAACUCUAAUACUGUAGUAAAAGACAAAAAAAACUGAGAAGAUAUAGCAUUCGUGAUCUUCUUGCGAUGUUGUUUUUCGCUAUGUUAAGUAUUUAGAAGAUUACUCUCCUAGCUUUACAUGACAAUUCACAAUGGUCUUAUAAGGUUUUUUUGAUUGAGUUAAAUUUAUUUUUACAAAAUCGGUCUUUAUAAACUCUAGUCAGACUUUAUCUUUGUUCAACGUAAGGCUUGAGUUUUUCUCCGAUGAUAGAAAAAAGGAUAUCUCUAGAGUCUAGACUGCCUACCAUUCGUACUUGUUGGGAGGACUAUUGGUUACCAUUUCAUAAUGCCUUCAAAGUUUGGUCUCCUCGUAACCAACCGUUUGAAGUUAGUUUGAUCUCUCAUCUUAUAUAUCCUAACAUCGCUUCUUGGAAUUUCCAACUCAUUGAUGAGAUUUUACUACCAUUUGAAGCAAUGCAAAUUCUCCAAUUACCCUUAUCAUCCUAUGGACAUGCUGGUGGCAUCACUUGGUGACCAAAUAAAAGGGGGAGUUCACUUUUUAACACGAGACUUGGUAUUUAUGGAAAGAUUUUGACAAAAUUUUAGACUCUGAGACGAUGAAACCAAAGUAAGUUGAAGUAUCUUUAGUAUCCUUCAAAGAUUUCACCACAUAAAGAGAAUCACCUUCGGCUUCUAUAUUAAAAAAACCAACUCCAAUGAAAUUCUAAGCCAAGGCGCAUAUAUAGCCAAUCUGGUACGACCUCAUUAAACGAAGUCGCAGCUGCAUAUAGAGUGCUGUUUUUAUCAAGAAUCACAGCUCCAAUUCAAUUCCUCACUUAUCAUGUAGUGGACCUGCUGCAUCAACAUUUAGUUAAUGCCAUAGUUUUGAGGAGAUUUCCAGCUAACAAUUGGACGAGUUUCAUCUAGGGGUGUGCAUAAAAACUGGAUCAGCUGACCCAAACUGAAAAUUUGGUGAACCAAAUUAGAAAAGCCCAAACCAUUUUCAUUUGACCUGAUCCAGUUCAUUUUAAUCCAGAUUAAAACGGGUCGGUUGCCAAAUAAAACGGGUCGGUUACCCAUUUACUAUCUCAAACCUGAAUUUUCACAAACCGUAAAAAGCAAACGCGAUUCCAUUCCAAAAACGCAAACGCGAUUCCAAACCGUAAAACGCGAUUCCAUUCCAAAAUCUUCAAAACGCAAUUCCAAAAUCUCCAAACGCCAUGUAGACUGUCAUUGGGGGAAAAAGCGAUUAUCACAGAAUCUGAGGUAAUCACCGUCCUUCUCUUUUCUACCCUAAUCAACAAUCAUACCUUUCAAUCGAUCUACAACAUCCUUUUUACUGUUCAUUUUGUUCUGCAAUUUAUUCAUCCAAUUUUGUUUCUGGGUUUUCGAUUUCUGCUAGUAUAUUUACUUGGGUUGGUUCUACUUCACUGUAUUCAUGCUUAAAUUUGCGUUUUUUUAUUUGAUUUUCAUUUUUGGGGUUUUGGGCCAUAUUAUUUACUUGGGCCAUAUUCAUUUUUGGGGUUUUGGGGUUUAUUUUUCAUCAGAAAAAGAGUAUGACUUUAUGUGUUAAUAUGCUUAUGUUUAGGGUUUUGAUCUGUGUUUUAGUCUUUUGGGGCUGUGAAUAAUUUGAGCUGGAAUAUGCUUCUUAUCAUGAUAACUUUUUGCAUGUCAUAUUUGUGAGUUUAGAUUUUAUAGGAAGAACUUUGAAUUAUUCUCUCACUUUUUGCACUAUUUUAUGUUUAUAGAAUCAUUGCAAGAUGACAAGUGAUGGUAACCUUCAAACAUCCGCAACAUCAGAGCGUACGGUGUCUACACCUCCACCCGCAAUGUCAAAUAGUGCAAUGCAACCUCCGAAUUCUAAGAAGCGUAAGAAUCGGUCGGAGUCAUGGGAUCAUUUCACGGUAGAAUGUCAGAUAGAAAAGAAAGCUAAAUGCAACUACUGUCCACAAAUCAUUAGGUUUGGUGGUGGAACUACUUCAAUGGGAAAGCAUACAGAGAGAUGUGAUGGUUACAAGAGGUCAUUGAUGAGUGCUGAUGAACAUCUGGACUUUCCCUUAGUUCCCAAGUUUGACCAAGAGGCUAUUCGAAGAGCAUUGGUGAAGAUGUUCAUCAACAUGGAAAUUCCAUUCAGGAAGGUAGAACAUGAAUCUUUUCAUGAGUUUAUGAGUCUUGCCUCACCUAGAUUUAAGUUGAUAUCACGAACUACACUUGCACGAGAUGUUUUGAAACUCUGGGACAUUGAAAGAUUACAGUUGAAAAAUUUUCUUGCUGAACAUUGUCAGAGGGUUUGCCUCACCACUGAUAUGUGGACUUCUUCUUGUCAGAAGAUGAGUUAUAUGUGUGUGACGGCUCAUUUUAUCGACAAUAAUUGGCGUUUGCAUAAGAAAAUUUUAAAUUUUUGUCAAGUUUCAAGUCACACAGGGGAGACUAUUUGUGCAACAAUGGAUAAGUGCUUGAAUAAUUGGGGCUUACACCGUGUGCUUAGCUUGACAGUAGACAAUGCCUCCUCUAAUGAUGUUGGAGUUAGGCGUCUCAAGAAAAGGCUUUUGUCUCGAGGUAGCUUAGUCAUGAAUGGAAACUAUUUUCACAUGCGUUGUUGUGCACAUGUCUUGAAUUUAAUUGUAAAAGAUGGUUUGGAAGAUAUGGAUGAAUCUAUUUUAAGAAUCCGUCAAGCUGUAUGGUACGUUAGGUCUUCUCCUUUGAGGCUUUCUAAAUUCAAAGGGCUCAUUGAUGAGCAGAGCGUUGGUGGUAAAAGUUCAGUUUGCUUAGAUGUUGAGACUCGCUGGAACACAACAUAUUUGAUGGCAGCAGCUGCACUUAAACAUGAGAAGACAUUUGAAGAGCUGUGUUUUCUGGAUCAGAAGUAUGUGAAUGAAUUGACAACGAAGGGAAAAGGUGUGCCGACUCAAGAUGAUUGGAAACGUGUCAGGGAAAUCCUUCCAUUCUUGAAAAUGUUUUAUGAUGCUACUGUACGCAUAUCAGGUUCGUCUUAUUUAACAAGCAAUAUUUAUAUGUUUGAGAUCCUUGGUAUUGGGAAAAGGAUAGUUGAAAUGUGCAGCUCUGAGGAUGUUCAUCUUCGCUCUAUGGCUCAAAGAAUGAAACUGAAAUAUGAUAAAUAUUGGGGAAAUUACAAGAGCCUUAACAUGAUGCUAUUGGUUGCUUUAGUAUUCGACCCUAGACGUAAGGUGAGAUUGGCUGAUUGGAUGAUAAGGCGGUUUUAUAAUGAGGAUGAUUCUGAUGCUUUGAUAGCAAUGUUAGAGUCUUGUUUGAAGUCUCUCUAUGAAGAAUAUUAUGACAGAGUUAUGCAUCCUCGAGGUAAUUCAGAAGCGCCGCAAGCUUUUAAUGGUGAUAGUGACCUCUACGGUACUUCAGAAUUUUAUCUUUCAGAUGGGUGUGGCACAUCAGAUAAUGAGUUGAAUACUUAUUUGAAUGAAAGCCUUGAGCGCAAUAUGGAGAUUAAUGUUCUAGAGUGGUGGAAAGUUAACUCUGGCCGAUAUCCAAUUCUUGCAAAAAUUGCAAGAGACGUUUUGGCUAUACCUAUUACAACUGUGGCGUCUGAAUCUACAUUUAGCACAAGUGAGAGAGUUCUUGACCCAUACCGUAGCUCUUUAACACCUACCACAAUUGAGGCACUUAUAUGCACUCAAGAUUGGCUCAAAGGAGCAUCUUCAUCCUUGAUUACAACCGAAGAUUUUGAGAAUCUUGAAUUGCUUGAGCAAGGUAUGAUAGAACAAGUUGAUACAUGAAUUAUUUUUAUUAUUACUUAUUAUACUUGAGCAUAAUGAUUUUUUUUAUAUCCUCUAUAGACAUUUGUCAAUCAGAAGAGGGCCCUAGUUGUUCAACUACGUCUACUUCUAUUGCAUUUGAAGAUGAUUGAAUGGUAAUUCAUUCAUUGUGCACCACUAUGUCUUCUCUCCUAUAAAAUUCAGCUUUCAUGCCUUCUUACUUGGAAAUCUUAAAAUGCUAUUCAUCUUCAAUCUCGUAAAACCUAAUGAUAGUUUCCUCUUGCAGAUUGUGUUGGUCUAUGUCAAGUUCUCAAUGAUGUUUUGGAUAGCAUGAGCAAGAAGGGCAUUUCUGGACCUAUUUGACUUCGAUAAAAAACCAGUUCAUAACAAAAUUUGGUUUAGGUAGCAUGAACCGGUUCUGAACUGGACUGAACUGUAUCGAACUGGUUUUUAAAAAAUCCAUUUAUUUUGUGAAAGUAGUUUUUUGAUCCAAAUUGUAUCCAUAAAUCUAGUUUGGAUACAAUUUGGAUAACCAUUUGCACACCCCUUUUCAUCCAUUAAUGUGCAGUCUUGCAAAAAUCAUUACUUCAAAUACAAAACCAAACUAACUUAGGAAAGGGUCGACCCAACAUAAAAGCGUGGUCAAUAUCUCCAUCAUCUCCAAGACAACAAACAUGACUUCAAAUGCAAAACCUUGUGCAGCAGCCUCCUAGCAAAAUGAAUAUGUUUGGGGAUGAACUUUAAUUUUCAUAUGUAUUUCCACACUUCACUACUACUCUUCUCCAUUUCUUCUUGAGGAGCUUUAUCUUCAAUUUGCACUUUUUUAUGCAGUGAUAGACAGAUUUUACCGUGAACUCUCUCUUUUAUUUGGUCCCCAAGUGAUGCCACCAGCAUGUCCAUAUUUGUAUUGCUUCAAAUGGUAAAAAAAGUUGGAAAUUCCAAGCACCAGUAUCAUGAGAUAUAAGAUGAGAGACCAAACUAACUUCAAACGGUUGGUUACGAGGAGACCAACUUUGUAGGUAUUCUGCAAUGGUAAUCAAUUGUCCUCUAAAGUAUGAAUGUUAGGCCGUAAGCACGAUCCUACAGUCUAGAGAUAUCCUUUUUUAUCAUCCCAGAAAAACUCAAGUCUCAUGUUGAAUAAACGAAAAGUUUAAUUAGAGUUUAUAAAGAAUGACACUCUUGUUUUACAGGCUGGUUUUAUAAGAAUAUGUUAAACAUAACUAAAAAGACCUAAUACGAGCAUUGUGAAUGCCCUGCCAUGUAAAGCUAGGAGAAAGACUGAUUUACUUUUGAAAAAUAUAUCGCGUUUUACUAAUGGAAAUAACUGAAACCAUAUUAAACUUCGAGUAAUCCGCCAUUUUGAUUUUCAAGAUGGUAGGGAUAUAGACAAUUCAAGACCUAAAUUGAUGGAAAAAUUAACUCACAUCAAAUUAGUUUUGAGGUUGAGUGAGAAAGAUCGGAUAAAUUAAGUAAUAAGGAGAAUAAUAACAAAAAAUGUUGAAGAAGAUUUGGUACACAAGAUGGAAAUAAUAAAUUGCUAAACUUAUGAGAAAAAAGAAGUGAGAGAAACAAUAUUAAUAAACACAAUACUAACAGUGUGAAACAAAGUUAAACACACACAAAAGAUCAUGAUUGGUUAGACUUAUAUAUUUAUCUAUUAAAGCCUUAAUUUCUUCGUAGUUCUUGGACCGAAUCAAACUUUUUUGAAUAUCUUUGAAGGAUUCGACCAAGGAAGCAUCCAAAUCGAUUUGUCAUUUCAAAUUAUACUGACUAAAUAUCAAGAACAUGGUUCUCACGUCGUCGUCGUUAAUGAGCUUCAUAUGGGUGAACUAGGCGCUUCUAGUUGAGUCAGUCGGAUCUUCGAAAGAUCCAACCAAGGAAGCGUCCAACUCGAUUGGUCAUUUCGAACUAUACUGACUAAAUAUCGAGAACAUGGUUCUCACGUCGUGUUGUUCAUGAGCUUCAUAUGGGUGAACUGGAUGCUUCUAGCUGAGUCGAUUGAUGGACGUCGAUACAUAACACCGCCCACCCUCUUUGUGUCUCUGUGGUUGAGUCGACAAUUAAUUUGGUCUAGUUGAUCUUUCAAUCCAGAUAGUGUAACAUCAAACCAUCAAUCUGAACCCUGAACAUAUUGGGUUUUUUCCGUUGUAGUAAAUUGCGGUUAACUUGGUGUUCAGAUCAAUAAGUAAAGUGGUCAUGAUUAUUGGUGUGGUUUACUACAAAUGUCAAACACACAAAUUUAUAGAAGUUUGCAUGUGAACCACAGAAAAAUAUUGUACUUCGCAGAUUUGAUCAUAAAAUCUAAAAUGUCCCCAAACCUACAAAGUAUGGGUUUUAGCAUAGUCUUAAACUAGUUUAGAUUAAAUAAUUCGAACAUUUCUUGAAUUUGUUUGGAUUAAAUAUUCUGAAUCAACUUAGAGUGUGGACAGUAGCUUGGUCUACAAGACCAACUCAUUUAAAUGUGUUUUUUUGGGUCCCUUGACCUGUCAGACCACUUUGACCAUGUUUUUUUUUUUUUACCCUAAUUAAAUGGCCGUUACACUCUAUGCAUGAUCAAUUUUUCACAAAUACCUACUCAAAGCUAAUUUAUAAAUUUUAGCACCUACAUUUCAAUUUCACACUUUUAGUUCAUCAUUUGAGUAUGCUAUAUUAUUCUUACAAGUACAAUUAAUUAAAACAUAUAGCUAUGUAUUAUUAUUUUUUCAACUUGGUAUCAGACCCAAGAACCGACCAAUUUUAGCAGGGGUCAAAUUGUGAAGUCAGAGUAAAGCUCCGUAUGAACUGAACCAACACUUUAAAAUUAGAGUGUGUUGUUUUGCAUAUGUUCUGUUUUUGUUGAAACAAAUAUGAUUUAGGGUGUGUUGUUAUAGAAAAAAAUGAGUCUACGUGGAUGAAGAAAUGGCCUUUUUUUUAUGUUGCCUUUCUGAAUGAGAGACGUGGCCUUUUGCCUUGAAGAAGACUUGCAUGUCACAUUCAGACAGGCAUUAAUAUGUAGCGCUGUAUUUUUAAAUUUCGUGGUGCUUUUUCAAACUACGUAGCUAGCUUUUAAAUUUCCUGCUAUUUAAUUCCUUUGAAUCAACUGCUUAGUACACAGAUAGGCAUUAAAGGAAGAAACAUGAAACUUGAUAGACAAGGCAAAUUAUUUUGAACAGUAAAAAAAUAUCCGGCAUCCUCUCUUGUCAAUGUAUUUUUUUUUAGUAGUAGUAUUUCGUCUUAAUUACUUACUUUUAUUUUUGUCUUUGGAUUCAUACUUAUGUAUUGUUUUCUUUGUUGAAUUGGCAGAUAUUUUUGUGCUUUCAAGGACAAAUGGGUAAGGAAAAGGCUCAGAUUAACAUUGUUGUCAUUGGCGAUGUCGACUCUCGGAAGUCAACUGAUCUACAAACUUGGAGGUGUUGACAAGAGUGUCAUUGAGAAGUUUGAGAUAGAAGCUGCUGAAAUGGGUAAGACUUCAGUCAAGUAUGCCUGGAUCCUUGACAAGCUCAGGGCUGAACGUGAAAGAGGUAUACCAUUGAGAUUUCUCUCUGGAAGUUUGAGACAACAAAGAACUGCUGCGUUGUCAUUGAUGUCCCGGGACACAAGAAUUUCAUUAAGAACAUGAUCACUGGGACGUCCCAAGCUGAUUGUGCUCUUCUUAUCCUUGACUCCCGUAUUGGUACUUUUGAAGUUAGAUUGUGGAGGAAGUUUCAUCCUAUUUGAAGAAGGUUGGCUAUAACCCAGAAAACAUUCCAUUUGUUCCCAUCUCUGGUUUUGAGGGAGAUAACAUGAUCGAGCGCUCUACAAACCUUAACUGGUACAAGGGUCCAACCCUUCUUGGGGCCCUUGACCAAAUCAACGAGCCUAAGAGGCCUUCAGACAAGCACCUCCGACUACAAUGUCUACAAGUUUAGAGGAAUUGGAACUGUACCUGUGGCACGUGUUGAGACUGGUGUCUUGAAACCUGGAAUGGUGGUGACUUUUGCCCCUACUGGACUGACAGCUAAAGUCACGUCUGUGGAGAUGCGCGAUAAACCUAUGGUGGACGUCUUGUUCAAAGAAAAACCUCUGAUGGAAUACCUUCCCGGCGACUGUGUGAGAUUUAAUGUUGAGAACGUUGAUGUUAAGGAUCUCAAGAGUGGCUAUGUUGCCUCUAACUCCAUGGAUGACCCAGCCAAGGAGGCCGCUAACUUUACAUCUCAAGUCGUCGUCAUGAAUCACCCUGGCAAGAUUGAAAAUGGCUAUGCACCUGUUCUUCACUGCCACACCUUCCACAUUCUUGUCAAGUUUGAUGAGCUUGUUACCAAGAUUGAUAGGCGUUCUGGUAUGGUGAUUGAGACGAAGCCCAAAUUCCUGAUGAAUGGUGAUGCUGGUAUUAUUAAGAUGAUUCCCACCAAGCCCAUGGUGGUUGAGACUUUCUCUGAAUAUCCUCCACUUGGCCGUUUUACUAUCAGGGACAAGCGUCAAACUGUGGCUGUUGGUGUCAUCACGGCUGUGGAGUAGAAGGAUCCCAGUUGUAACACCCCGUUUUCCCAAUAUACAAAUUUCUUAAACAAUUAUCAGAGUAAAAACCAUAAACGGGAUAUCACAUAGAAACGUAAUCCAAAACAGUUAAAUAAUGAUUUAACCUUCACAAAUAUCUUUAACAUAGCAGCGGAAAAUCAUAAACAUAAAUCAUAAACGUUUUCGGCACGCAGGCCCAAUAAGUAUCUCAAAAGAGUUUAUCAAAACAUAAGCAGUUCACGUAAAAGAAUGAAGCAUGUUAUAGCAUUAAACCCCAUCCCGUUACGUAUCAGAGCGACCUAGACGACACAGUGAAGGCAAGGCCAACUCACGAAGCAACUGCACACUAAGCACGAUCACCUGCAAGUUACCCAUACGAAGGGCAACAUUUUCAAGCAGAAGGGGUGAGAUUUCAUAAUAAAAUAACAUUAAUCAGUGUAAUUGUGAAUCAUAAAUUAACAUCAAUCAUUCCAUUAUUAACUUUGCAUAAAUGCUAAACAGUUAUCACGUAAUCACAUAUCCAAUCAUUAUAAACAACAUAACAUAAUCAAAUAACACUUAUCACAUAAUCACAUAUCCAUUCAUUAUCAACAAGGCAUCUUAAUCAUGACAAUGUGACAAUGCUCCUAGACUCCUUAUAUGCAUGUGGUACCAAUCGUCAUCAUAAGUAUUAAUAUACUUUAAUCGUGCGGAGGACAAAGCUCCUAUAAAACGUGCGGAGGACAAAGCUCCUAAUUUUCGUGGUGAGGACUAAGCUCAAUGAUAUGCUAUGCAUGGACACAUAUGAACAAAACAUCAUAAUCAUCGUAAUCAUGUGCAUUCAAUAACUUGAUGCAAAACGUCAUCAUUUUCCUUAUAUUCAUAUAUAAACAUUGCAUACUCAGUUAAAUAACAGCAGCAGCAUAGUCAAGUCGCAUAACAGCAAGGAGAUAUCAAUAUAUCAACAACAAUUUACUAGAAUCAUAAUCAUUUCAAUUAUAUCUUACAUAUUGCAUAAUACCUUAAUCAUGCUCAAAUAAUAUCAACUUAACUCAAUAGCUUUACAGACUGCAUUAAACGUUAUCAUAAGGUUUCAUUACCAAUUAGGGGUUCACUCUGGACUAAAAAGUGCGACACAGAUCGCACAAACACAUAAUCAAGUUCAUCCUGGUUGUACUCGCGAGGCGAGAGUACUUACUCGCCAUGGCGAGCACCACUCAACUCACAAACUAAGCUUGUUCUAGGUUCCCUCUGAUCCUACAUUCAUUCCUAAUCAAUACUAGGUAAGUUCAGGUACUCAAAGGCAUACAAGAUUCAACUAAAAAGGUCGAAACACGAAAUAUGACAUGCACUCUGCCUAAGCUCGCGAGGCGAGGAAGGUUGCUCGCCAUGGCGAGUUGCACCAAACAACUCGCGAGGCGAAGGAAAGGGGCUCGCGUGGCGAGCGAUGAAGUUCACCACUCGCGAGGCGAGGAUCAUCACUCGCCGUGGCGAGCGAUGAACAGAAGCACGGGCAGACUAGGGUUUUUCUCAAAAAUCCAUCACACAACAUGGUUCAAAGCCUAAUUUUGAUUCCAGAAUUCAUCCUAAACAUAUUCUAAGGUUAUAGGACGGUUCUUACAUCAAUCUAAACAAGUUUUACCGUUUGAUCAUCAAUUUUUAGGGUUUUAACCUAAUUCCAAAACUUUUCUAAAUCAAUCCUAACUUUGUCAAUUAAUCAUCAGAAUUACAACAAUCAAUGCUAUUGAAUUACUAGUCUCACCCUUACCUGGUUAUGAAGAAAUCGCAGCACUCUACCUUGGUUCCUCUAGACUUGGCUUUUUCUUCCCUUUUCCAAAAGUUUUCACGUACAAUGAGUUUCUAAAAUAUUAGGUCUUCUCCUAUUUAAACCUCUUUCUAAUAACUUAUCUUAUCUCACUUUCUCCCCCAAAACUAUCUAAAAUAUCAAAACAGCCCUCAACUAAAUAUUUUUCAAAUCUUUAUCUUAUUUAACAAUAAAAUAAAUUCUAUAAUCUUAUCAAUUCCUCCAAAACUCAUAACCUAACACGUCAUCAAUCAAAUCACCAAAAUCACCACAAUUUAUCAAAACAUAUCAAAAUCAUACAUAUAUUAUAUAAAUAUAAUAUAAUCACUUAAACUCGAUUAAAUAACUAUUAAACGAAAGUGGGCGUUACACCAGUGGAGGACUUUAGCAGACUAACUCAGCAUUGAAGAAUAAGGGAACCGUGCAGGAUGAUCUAUCGUCUUGAUUACAGUAAAUGGUUUGGUCUUCGUAAUACUACCAUAUCUGGUUUAGUUAACUUGUUUUUCAGAUUAAGUGUCAAGUCUGCACCGUCGUCUCGCAGCCCUUGUUCCCAGGAUUGGGUUCUAUAUCGACUGUGGCAAGGCUUUUUCUUUUUCAUGCUUAUGCUUUAAUAUGUGUUCAGUUAGAACUAUUUCUAUUUUGUAAGCAGCUAGACUGCUGAUUUGAUUUAGUAAUAUCGACUUUAUUUUUGUUUUUUAAGUGCUAAUUUUAUGUUGCUGGGGCAUUUAUCCGCAUGAUUAUUUCUCACCAUCAUAGCACAUAAACGUACGUGUGGUGUUUAUGUGGUGAUCACAUUGCGCUUAGAAUGGAUUAUUUGUUAUACUUGUUCUCUGAUUUUUAUUUUUGUUUUUGCUGCUUGGAAUGUUUCGAUUUCGUUUGUCAGGGAUGAAGUGAAUAUUUUUAGUUCAAGAAUUUGUUUAGUCUGUAGUAUAUCAUGUCUGUUGAUUGAUUGUGUUUUAUUAGUCAGAAAAAUUCAUAUGAAUUAAAAAAAAAGUAAGCUUCAAGCCAUGUAACUUAACAUCUAUACUAACACAUACCAACUAUUUUAUGAGCUAUAGCAACAAAAUAUAGACAUGCUGCUGAGUGAAAAACAAAAUAAGUUGAUUGGGUCUGUGUUGGUAUAAAUGUAUCUUGUUUUUAGUUUUUUGCCGCUGCUACAGUUUGCGAGUGUUACUAACGAGAUUCCUUAUUCCCCACUGCAAAACCAAAAUCACUGCCUUAAUACCUUUGCUCAGUUUUCUGCUUCAAAUUAGAAUAUUCUGCUCCAAUAUAAAUAGUUGAGGUAUUUUACAAUGCUUGAGAAAUGACUAUGUUGCCUCUUGCUAGAGAAACCCAAUUGAAGAAAGUGCAAAAGUUCGAGAAAAAAAUUAGUCAUAGUUUUAAGACUUGUUUAUGAGUGACAGCGAGCAACAAAAGUUUCUUCAUGAUAGAGUGGCUAUCCAUUAACCUGGUGCCAUGGUCUCCUAAACUUUCUACAUUACUUAUUUUACACUGUUGUUUUAACGAAGGUGCGACUCUUGUUUUAUUUAACACUGUUAAUUUAUGAAAAUAAUUGGUUACAUAAAGCAUUUGCCAGGUCCUUCAAUUGUGACACUCUAGCUCUGCCACCGCAUCCAUCGUUGACAUGGCUGGGAGCAAAGUCUUAUAGUGGGAACGACACGGGUACUUGUAAUCACAAUCAUUAGUAAAUAACUAAAUGAUUGAUAUACAUGUUAUCUGGUAAACUUCACCUAAACUUGCUGUUUAUUCUAAAAUAGACUCUCUGUUUUUUUGACGAAAAGCUAAUUUCUUUAAUUAUCACUGCAGUCGGCAGCUAAAAAAUCAUCAAUACGUUGAGGAGUUCCUUCAAUCUAUAUUGAAUCAUGAUGACAGAGAGCGAAUUUGCAUUAGUAUGAGCUACUUUAUUGCCCUCUCUUUUUAACAUGAGACUUAAUGAUAUUAUGUAAUUUUUUUUUUGUACAACAUUUUACACUCUGAGACGAUGCAACCAAACCAAAGUAAGUUGAAGUAUCUUUAGCUUUUUUCAAAGCUUUCAUCACUUCUUUAAAGAAACCAAGGUCCAGUAUAAAUUCUAAGCCAAGGUGGAUAGCCAUACCUCGUGCCGAGUCUGAAUCUAGUACGACCUCAUUAAAUGAAGUCGCACUCGCACCUGCAUAUAGUGCUCUUUUCAUCACCAAUCACAGCUCGAAUUCCCCUAUUUACCUUGUAGUGGAUCUACUGCAUCAACAUUUAAUUUAUACGAUUACAGUCUGAGAGUGUUGCAUUUGUACUCUGCUGCCAUUCCCUAAGAUUUUUUCACAUAGGGAUACAAUGAGCUCACUAACCUCCGGCUAAUCCUGCAUAAUAAUUUUCUCCAGCCAAGUGCAAAAAUCAUCUUCUACAUUAUCAAAGUUGAUUCCAAGAGGAGAAGAGAACCAAACUAACUUAGCAAAGGGACACAACAUGAAAGCAAUGUCAAUAUCUCCAUCACUUCCAAGGCAACGGGGACAAGAGGCAGGAAUAGAACAUCCACGGGACAAUAAACAUGACUUCAAGGGAAAAAACCUUGUGCAGCAGUAUUCUAUAAUAAGUCUUAUCCAUUGAUGUUUAUGGAAAUCUUCAAUUUUGCACUUUUUUAUGCAGCGAUAGACAGAUUUUACAGUGAACUCCCCCUUUUAUUUGGUCCCCAAGUGAUGCCACCAGCAUGUCCAUAGGAUGAUAAGGGUAAUUGGAUGUAUUGCUUCAAAUGGUAAAAAAUCUCAUUAAUGAGUUGGAAAUUCCAAAGCACCAGUGUCAGGAUAUAUAAGAUGAGAGAUCAAACUUAACUUGUAAUAAAAAUAAAUAUUGAAGAAGAUUUGAUAUAGAGUAUAAAAUGAAAAUAAUAAAUUUCAUUACUGAUAAGAAAUCCUCUAAAAAAAGUUACUGAGAGAAGAGAAGUGAGAGAAAAAGGGACAUGUAGAGGGAGAAACAAUUUUAUAUAACUAGAACACUUGACUCUAAGUUUUGAAUUUCCUAUUUAUUUGUUCAUUGUCCCAAGCUUAUUGAGUUUACCAAGAGACAAAUAAAUGUAGUGGUCCAUCAGUUGGGAGCUUCGAAAAUAAUUUCUCUUCCAAAAUAAUCCUUGAUCCUAUUAUUAUACAUAUGAUUAUGAAUUUUUUUUUUUUUGAGGAAUCAUAUGAUUAUGAUUAUAAUUUACUAAAAUGUAAUUGUUUGAAUUGAACCAAAGUUUUGCGGAUGGCCACAAAGUUUAGAUAGCAGGUUCGCUUGUUUCUUGUUGCAUGAGUUUGGUUUGAUAUACAAUAGGGUGAACGAUCAGGACAUUGUGCAAUUGACAUUCAAAAAUGAUCCUGACAUUCUUGGCAACGAUAUUGCCUAAAACAUAGAGACAUGCCCCAGCAAAAGCUUAAACAUCACACCAAGGAAUAAACACAAAAAUAAAGAGUUAAUAUUUAGAAACAGAGUCAGCAAGUUCUGGAACUUACUGCUUGCUUACAAAAUCCAAGUUUCAGACUAGACACAACAAUUAAAGCAUAAAAACAAAACAGAUAGAGCGCUGCCACCGUCGAUCUAGAACCCAGUUCUGAGAACAAAAGCUAAGAGAUGAAGGUGCAGACUUGACACUUAAUAUGAAAAACAAGUAAACUAGACGAGAAAUAGAAAUACUAAGGACCCAAGACCAUUUAUUGUAAUAACUAUGAUAUGCUUCCCAAGUAGAUAGACCAUCCUGCUCAGUUCACUUCUUC